RNAcentral lists this ribosomal RNA (1522 nucleotides) under metagenome. RNAcentral's name for it is "bacterial SSU rRNA". It matches the Rfam family "Bacterial small subunit ribosomal RNA". The record is from RNAcentral.
AGAGUUUGAUCAUGGCUCAGAUUGAACGCUGGCGGCAGGCCUAACACAUGCAAGUCGAACGGUAACAGGAAACAGCUUGCUGUUUCGCUGACGAGUGGCGGACGGGUGAGUAAUGUCUGGGAAACUGCCUGAUGGAGGGGGAUAACUACUGGAAACGGUAGCUAAUACCGCAUAACGUCGCAAGACCAAAGAGGGGGACCUUCGGGCCUCUUGCCAUCAGAUGUGCCCAGAUGGGAUUAGCUAGUAGGUGGGGUAACGGCUCACCUAGGCGACGAUCCCUAGCUGGUCUGAGAGGAUGACCAGCCACACUGGAACUGAGACACGGUCCAGACUCCUACGGGAGGCAGCAGUGGGGAAUAUUGCACAAUGGGCGCAAGCCUGAUGCAGCCAUGCCGCGUGUAUGAAGAAGGCCUUCGGGUUGUAAAGUACUUUCAGCGGGGAGGAAGGGAGUAAAGUUAAUACCUUUGCUCAUUGACGUUACCCGCAGAAGAAGCACCGGCUAACUCCGUGCCAGCAGCCGCGGUAAUACGGAGGGUGCAAGCGUUAAUCGGAAUUACUGGGCGUAAAGCGCACGCAGGCGGUUUGUUAAGUCAGAUGUGAAAUCCCCGGGCUCAACCUGGGAACUGCAUCUGAUACUGGCAAGCUUGAGUCUCGUAGAGGGGGGUAGAAUUCCAGGUGUAGCGGUGAAAUGCGUAGAGAUCUGGAGGAAUACCGGUGGCGAAGGCGGCCCCCUGGACGAAGACUGACGCUCAGGUGCGAAAGCGUGGGGAGCAAACAGGAUUAGAUACCCUGGUAGUCCACGCCGUAAACGAUGUCGACUUGGAGGUUGUGCCCUUGAGGCGUGGCUUCCGGAGCUAACGCGUUAAGUCGACCGCCUGGGGAGUACGGCCGCAAGGUUAAAACUCAAAUGAAUUGACGGGGGCCCGCACAAGCGGUGGAGCAUGUGGUUUAAUUCGAUGCAACGCGAAGAACCUUACCUGGUCUUGACAUCCACGGAAGUUUUCAGAGAUGAGAAUGUGCCUUCGGGAACCGUGAGACAGGUGCUGCAUGGCUGUCGUCAGCUCGUGUUGUGAAAUGUUGGGUUAAGUCCCGCAACGAGCGCAACCCUUAUCCUUUGUUGCCAGCGGUCCGGCCGGGAACUCAAAGGAGACUGCCAGUGAUAAACUGGAGGAAGGUGGGGAUGACGUCAGGUCAUCAUGGCCCUUACGACCAGGGCUACACACGUGCUACAAUGGCGCAUACAAAGAGAAGCGACCUCGCGAGAGCAAGCGGACCUCAUAAAGUGCGUCGUAGUCCGGAUUGGAGUCUGCAACUCGACUCCAUGAAGUCGGAAUCGCUAGUAAUCGUGGAUCAGAAUGCCACGGUGAAUACGUUCCCGGGCCUUGUACACACCGCCCGUCACACCAUGGGAGUGGGUUGCAAAAGAAGUAGGUAGCUUAACCUUCGGGAGGGCGCUUACCACUUUGUGAUUCAUGACUGGGGUGAAGUCGUAACAAGGUAACCGUAGGGGAACCUGCGGUUG